ACAAGCGAUAAAGACCAGCCUCGUACAGCUACUCAAGUGCCGUGUUGUAUGCAACGAGUCUUCAAAAAUGAACGAUGCAUAAGAUCUCGUCCAGUCUUACGGGAAAGCAAGCACAACCUUCGCAACACCUCGCGUAAAUUUCCCCUUUCACCAAGGUUCAAGACGGUAAGCGGACAUAUAAACCCCCGCGUGUAUGUGUCGUGCCCGGCGGGGACUUUUCAUGGCCAUCCUGCAAGCGUUGCACCUGAUAGGAUGCUUAAACCGUGCCUUGCGAGGGGACUUAAGGGCGUACGAGAAUU
Molecule: long non-coding RNA, 299 nt
Organism: Anopheles stephensi (Asian malaria mosquito)
Lineage: Eukaryota; Metazoa; Arthropoda; Insecta; Diptera; Culicidae
Exons: 2
Source: RefSeq, a predicted model, not a curated record